Molecule: transfer RNA, 83 nt
Filed under: Oscillospiraceae bacterium
Lineage: Bacteria; Bacillati; Bacillota; Clostridia; Eubacteriales; Oscillospiraceae
Description: tRNA-Leu
Rfam family: tRNA
About the family: Transfer RNA (tRNA) molecules are approximately 80 nucleotides in length. Their secondary structure includes four short double-helical elements and three loops (D, anti-codon, and T loops). Further hydrogen bonds mediate the characteristic L-shaped molecular structure. tRNAs have two regions of fundamental functional importance: the anti-codon, which is responsible for specific mRNA codon recognition, and the 3' end, to which the tRNAs corresponding amino acid is attached (by aminoacyl-tRNA synthetases). tRNAs cope with the degeneracy of the genetic code in two manners: having more than one tRNA (with a specific anti-codon) for a particular amino acid; and 'wobble' base-pairing, i.e. permitting non-standard base-pairing at the 3rd anti-codon position.
Source: RNAcentral
GCGGGUAUGGUGAAAUCGGUAAACACGCCGGUCUUAGGAGCCGGUGCCAACGCUUAAGGGUUCGAGUCCCUUUACCCGCACCA